This 571-nucleotide ribosomal RNA is filed under the name Aspergillus versicolor. RNAcentral's name for it is "eukaryotic LSU rRNA". The stretch from base 206 to 359 matches the Rfam family "5.8S ribosomal RNA". Lineage: Eukaryota; Fungi; Ascomycota; Eurotiomycetes; Eurotiales; Aspergillaceae. The record is from RNAcentral.
UAAAAGUCGUAACAAGGUUUCCGUAGGUGAACCUGCGGAAGGAUCAUUACCGAGUGCGGGCUGCCUCCGGGCGCCCAACCUCCCACCCGUGACUACCUAACACUGUUGCUUCGGCGGGGAGCCCUCUCGGGGGCGAGCCGCCGGGGACUACUGAACUUCAUGCCUGAGAGUGAUGCAGUCUGAGUCUGAAUAUAAAAUCAGUCAAAACUUUCAACAAUGGAUCUCUUGGUUCCGGCAUCGAUGAAGAACGCAGCGAACUGCGAUAAGUAAUGUGAAUUGCAGAAUUCAGUGAAUCAUCGAGUCUUUGAACGCACAUUGCGCCCCCUGGCAUUCCGGGGGGCAUGCCUGUCCGAGCGUCAUUGCUGCCCAUCAAGCCCGGCUUGUGUGUUGGGUCGUCGUCCCCCCCGGGGGACGGGCCCGAAAGGCAGCGGCGGCACCGUGUCCGGUCCUCGAGCGUAUGGGGCUUUGUCACCCGCUCGAUUAGGGCCGGCCGGGCGCCAGCCGACGUCUCCAACCAUUUUCUUCAGGUUGACCUCGGAUCAGGUAGGGAUACCCGCUGAACUUAAGCAUA